RNAcentral lists this ribosomal RNA (458 nucleotides) under uncultured bacterium. RNAcentral's name for it is "bacterial SSU rRNA". It matches the Rfam family "Bacterial small subunit ribosomal RNA", at positions 29 to 534 of the family's 1533-position model. The record is from RNAcentral.
AACGAACGCUGGCGGCAGGCCUAACACAUGCAAGUCGAGCGCCCCGCAAGGGGAGCGGCAGACGGGUGAGUAACGCGUGGGAAUCUACCUAAUGGUACGGAAUAGCCCAGGGAAACUUGGAGUAAUACCGUAUACGCCCGCAAGGGGAAAGAUUUAUCGCCAUUAGAUGAGCCCGCGUUGGAUUAGCUAGUUGGUGGGGUAACGGCCCACCAAGGCGACGAUCCAUAGCUGGUCUGAGAGGAUGAUCAGCCACACUGGGACUGAGACACGGCCCAGACUCCUACGGGAGGCAGCAGUGGGGAAUAUUGGACAAUGGGCGCAAGCCUGAUCCAGCCAUGCCGCGUGAGUGACGAAGGUCUUCGGAUUGUAAAGCUCUUUUGGCGGGGACGAUAAUGACGGUACCCGCAGAAUAAGCCCCGGCUAACUUCGUGCCAGCAGCCGCGGUAAGGCGUAUGUGU